GGGACUAAUUGCUCCUACUGUAAGUUAUUUCUCUGUUCAUUUCAUCAUGCUAUUUGAGGAUAUAUGGAUAUUUGCAGCCAACUAGUUGUUCGCCUAUAUAUUUAUUUAGUUUCAGGAUAACCGUUUUGCACCAUGUAUACCUUAUAUAUGGAGUCAUUUUACUCAAGUCUACAUCGUUGAAGGCAUUUUCCCCUUCACAUCAGUUUUUUUCCCCCUUUGGUAAAUAUUGAAAAUCAAGUUUUUAUUUUUAAGAUGGCUGGUAUGAUUGAAUCUGGUUUGAAGGGCUGAAGUGUGAUUGUGAUACAUAUGGUGAGAAAUGUAAGACGGAGAUGGGAAUGAGAUAACUGUGCUGUAAAUAAUCAUAUUUAUAUGGUGUAUAGCCCUGCAGUUGAUACGUAUCAACUCUGUUGGUGGGUUUUAAGGCUCAUAAUAUGAUUUAGAAGUCUUCUUAUGAAUUUGUUAUGAUGUCCUAUUUGGGUCACCUAUUCCUUAGCCAUUUGUGGCACUUCCAGUGCAACUCAUACUUUCUGUUUAACAUGACCAAAGAAAGCCUUUAUUAUAUGCCAGUUGAUUCCGAUAGGGAUUGAUUUUGUUUAUCCUACUAGAUUAUAUAAGUAAUAAUCUUUUUAAUUGGAUAGUGUCGCCUUCUUUAUAUGAUAGGUUAAGAUUGUAGCUGCAGAAAUUGUUUGGACUCACAAAUUCUUACCUCUGUGGGUCAGAACUUAUUCUUUGUACUUUAAGUACAAACAAAUUUUGAAGAGUUCAUUUAUGAUAAUAGAGUCUUUUGAUACACUGAGCAAUCUUAAAAUUUCAUGUGCUUUAUCUCUAAAAUUAUGUUAGAAAUUAAAAAAGCUUCCCAAAAUUGGGGAUGGACACUUGAUCAAUUGGCAAGAGAAGGAAAAUUAUAUACACAAGAAAUUGACAUUAAUAAAUUGUGUUAUAGUUUGGGUGUCUUUGACUAGUGUGCCAAGUAAUAAAAAAUUUAUGGUCAAAUGAUGAGGCAUAGGUGGGGGAGAAUGCGGAGAGAAUGAGAGCAGCUGUUGCUUUACCACAUAAGGGGCUAGUCCAUCUGGAACAAAGAAUUCUUUUCCUUCUUUUCUUCUUACUAACUCCUAAUCCCCUAUAAAUUGGAUGCAUGAUUUCUCUGAUAUGUACAGUAUAAUCCAUAUUUUAUACUCAUUGGAAUUCAAUCUUGAUUUAUAGAGCUGAACUCUUUGUCUCCUUGGAAUUGUCAUACAUGUUGAAUUGUUUUUUCAUUGGCAGCUGGAACUAAAAUUAGGUCUUGGUGGCACCUCAUAUGAGGAUUUCAUACGUAGCAUGCAUUUGCCGAUGCAGCUGAGUCAGGUGGAUCCCAUUGUGGCUUCCUUUUCAGGUGGGGCAGUAGGUGUCAUUUCAGCCUUGAUGCUGAUUGAAGCCAAUAAUGUCGAGCAACAAGAGAAGAAAAGAUGCAAAUAUUGCCAUGGAACGGGAUACUUGGCCUGUGCCCGAUGUUCAUCAAGUGGUGUGUGCUUGGGCAUUGAUCCCGUCUCACUAUCCAGUGCUUCCAAUCGCCCCUUGCAAGUACCAAAAACUCAAAGGUGUGCAAACUGUUCUGGUGCUGGAAAGGUAAAAGAAAAUAUGAAAAAAAAAGCACCAUCUAAUUCUUCCUGAAAUAUGAAGUGGAAAUUUUCAAGUUCUAUUGGUGCAUUUGUUCAAAAUUCAAACUUCUUCUAAGUUGUAGCAAUAUGGUGUUAAAUGGUCUGCUAGCUACAUUUGUUGGAUCACUCCCAUGUUAGUUAUAGAAGUUCGGUUCCAAUGCAAAUUAUGUUUGUGGCUCAGUGAUUCUUUGGUUUUAUGGUUUAUAAGGUAGUUUGUGGUUUAUCUAUUCUAGCUCAAAAAGGAAAUGAUGAUGUUGAUGUUGGCUGCAUUUGCAUAGAGACUAAUCCAACCAUGAUGAGUACAUGUUACUGAUUUCUUGUGUUUGCACAUAUAAUGUUUGCAGCAUAUCAUUUGUGAUAUCUACUUUCUACAGUUGACAUGAUCUGUUACUGUUCCACUUCUAAUCUCCAGCAUGGCAAUACAUAGAAGAAAGCUAAUCAUUCUUUAUUCUUACCUUACAAUGUCCAAUACUCUGUCAUUGUUAAAUUAGGUAAUGUGCCCUACAUGCCUGUGCACUGGGAUGUUGAUGGCAAGUGAACAUGACCCACGAAUUGAUCCAUUUGACUAGGGAGGAUUGAGGAACACUCACUUUGGGAAUGUAACUUUCUAGUAUGUCUUUAAUGUUUAUUUGGCACAAAAUUUAGGAACAAUCUCGUCUGUCUCCGAACCCCUGAAAGUAGAAGUUGUAAGAAAGGAACAGGUAUAUAUGCACUGGUUAAGAAAGGUAUCAACAGAGUGUCUAUAAGCAUGCAAACCAGCAUGGUGGAAGCUAAAUGUCUGGCUUGGAGAAUCCUGUUGUGCACUCAUCCCUGCGAAGAACAGGCAGUUUACAGAAUGUGCGAUUACCUUGUGAAAUUAUUGUCUGAAGUAGUGGAUUUGCUGGGUUUUGUUUCAUGUGCUGUAAUUUGGAUCCGCUAUUGUGAGAGAAAUAGAAAUUUGUUUGGUGCAUU
RNAcentral lists this unclassified non-coding RNA (2588 nucleotides) under Hevea brasiliensis (rubber tree). The record is from RNAcentral. Lineage: Eukaryota; Viridiplantae; Streptophyta; Magnoliopsida; Malpighiales; Euphorbiaceae.